Myodes glareolus (Bank vole) is the source of this 1472-nucleotide non-coding RNA. Lineage: Eukaryota; Metazoa; Chordata; Mammalia; Rodentia; Cricetidae. The record is from RefSeq and is a predicted model, not a curated record.
GCUUCGGUGCAGGAAUUACAUUGUAGAUGCAUCCACAGGGGUUGGUACCCAGCAUCAGUUACUCUCUGGACUUGGACCGCGAAGGAUGAGAGCUACACUCAUCUGUGGCUGCAAGGAAACUACAAUGGCUGAAAUUUGUUGCUUCUAUGGCUAUGACCCAUCUCCUGCAUCCAAAUAAUCUUGGCGAUGAUGAACUCUUGUAAAGGACCCAUGACAGCAUGCUAAUCUUUAUGCCCACUCAGUCAUGCUGAAGUGAAGGCAGCUGAUGGACCAGAGAGCAGCAUAUCAGAGUGAGGGAAUAGUCACAGUGCAGAUGCCCAGCACAGGCAUGACCCAGUUCUUGUCUACAUCUGAGCCUUGUGAGGAGGGUCUGGAGUGAGAAAAGAUCAGAUGAUGUCAUAGUCAUUCACCAGAGAAAAGACAGUCUGAAGGCACAGGAGAAGGAUGAAGAACGCUGGACAAGUGGCCAUCCAGGUGGAAAAAGAACUGAAGCAGAUUGGAGUCUUUGGCUGGUGCAUAACUCACUACACAGAUCAGAAUGGCCUUAAAAUCACAGAGAUCUGCCUGUUACUUCCUCCAGAACACUAGGAUUAAAGACAUCUGUUACCACACCUGAUCUAAAUUAUACUUAUUCAUAUGUGAUUAAGCAGGAAUUUUAUGUUUUAUACUUCUGAAGAUAGAAAUGCAUGCAUGAGUCACAGAAUUAACAAACUGGGUCACAGUGAGCAUCUUAAAAACAGAAUCACCUGCUGGAAACAGAACGGAAAGCUGUGAAGGUGGUGAUACACUGUGAUCAGAGUUUUAAACUGUUACAUAAUGUUCCUUGAACUUUAUAUUUCUUUCUUGGAUUGUGUGGUUUUUCUUUUUUUUUCAUGAAACUAUACAGAUCAAUGAUUAUUAUAGGUGUGGGUUAUGGAGUAUGGUUUCAAGUUUUGCUUCUGCUAUGCAGUACCUGUAAUGAUCUCCUACAGUCCUGCUUGCUCAGUGGGUAAAAUGGGAACAAUUACAGUAUAUAUUCAGUUUCAAGGAUUAAAUAAUGAAUUAGGGUGCUUGGCAUCUAACAUCCAGGAAAAAUUAGCCAUUGUAUUUCUUUACUUUUUAAAUUUCUCUCAAGUAUUAGGUACUUUUUUGCAAUGGUUGAAUGGGACUCUACUCAAGUUGCUAAGUAGAACCAAAGGAAGUAUAGUGUGUAUUGAAGUAAAAGAGGCUGGACAAUGAUUGCUAGAGGCAGCAGAUAUCAAAAUGAAAGAAUCUGAAGGAUAAAGCCACACCCCAAGACUUGAGUGCCUCAGUGUUUCCCUUGCUGCACCUGGCAGGUGCAGAUGUCUAUUUCCUUAAAGGUAGCUCUGCCCGCAGGUCCGCCUAAUAUGAAGACACCCAGUGCUAACUUCUCCCUACUCAUUUAGACCAAAUUCUAGUUCAUACAGGAGCUCCACCAAAUCUUACUGUGCUCCUAUGUGAGUACGUAAAAG